GAUGAACGCUGGCGGCGUGCCUAAUACAUGCAAGUCGAGCGAACGGACGAGAAGCUUGCUUCUCUGAUGUUAGCGGCGGACGGGUGAGUAACACGUGGAUAACCUACCUAUAAGACUGGGAUAACUUCGGGAAACCGGAGCUAAUACCGGAUAAUAUUUUGAACCGCAUGGUUCAAAAGUGAAAGACGGUCUUGCUGUCACUUAUAGAUGGAUCCGCGCUGCAUUAGCUAGUUGGUAAGGUAACGGCUUACCAAGGCAACGAUGCAUAGCCGACCUGAGAGGGGGAUAGGCCACACGGGAACUGAGACACGGUCCAGACUCCUACGGGAGGCAGCAGUAGGGAAUCUUCCGCAAAGGGCGAAAGCCUGACGGAGCAACGCCGCGUGAGUGAUGAAGGUCUUCGGAUCGUAAAACUCUGUUAUUAGGGAAGAACAUAUGUGUAAGUAACUGUGCACAUCUUGACGGUACCUAAUCAGAAAGCCACGGCUAACUACGUG
Molecule: ribosomal RNA, 497 nt
Filed under: uncultured bacterium
Lineage: Bacteria
Description: partial 16S ribosomal RNA
Rfam family: Bacterial small subunit ribosomal RNA
Source: RNAcentral